This 465-nucleotide ribosomal RNA is filed under the name uncultured bacterium. Its description in RNAcentral is "partial 16S ribosomal RNA". It matches the Rfam family "Bacterial small subunit ribosomal RNA", at positions 28 to 507 of the family's 1533-position model. The record is from RNAcentral.
GACGAACGCUGGCGGCGUGCUUAACACAUGCAAGUCGAACGGAAAGGCCCUGCUUGCAGGGUACUCGAGUGGCGAACGGGUGAGUAACACGUGGGUGAUCUGCCCUGCACUUCGGGAUAAGCCUGGGAAACUGGGUCUAAUACCGGAUAGGAGCCAUUUUUAGUGUGAUGGUUGGAAAGUUUUUUCGGUGUAGGAUGAGCUCGCGGCCUAUCAGCUUGUUGGUGGGGUAAUGGCCUACCAAGGCGGCGACGGGUAGCCGGCCUGAGAGGGUGGACGGCCACAUUGGGACUGAGAUACGGCCCAGACUCCUACGGGAGGCAGCAGUGGGGAAUAUUGCACAAUGGGCGCGAGCCUGAUGCAGCGACGCCGCGUGGGGGAUGACGGCCUUCGGGUUGUAAACUCCUUUCGCUAGGGACAAAGCUUUUUGUGACGGUACCUAGAUAAGAAGCACCGGCUAACUACGUG